Molecule: long non-coding RNA, 367 nt
Organism: Mastomys coucha (southern multimammate mouse)
Lineage: Eukaryota; Metazoa; Chordata; Mammalia; Rodentia; Muridae
Exons: 3
Source: RefSeq, a predicted model, not a curated record
CUCUGAAAUCUACCUGCCUCUGCCUCCCUAGUGUUGGUAUUACAGGAAUUAUGAGGAAGGUGAAUGAAAGAGCAUAGUACCACUGUAAGAAUCACCACUGGACUGCUGGAGAACACUGGUAUGUGCCUGUCAGCCCUUCCCUUGCUUCUGUGGGUCUGCCCCUGACGACUGUGGCACAGCACUGAACCAGGCUCUUUCCCAGGCACUCUUCAUGUCCUCAUUCCUAAGGGUGUAGAUUAUGGGGUUCAGCAGAGGGGUUACAGCAGUGAAAAACACAGACACAACCUUGUCCUCAGGAAGGCUGGUGGAUGGGCGUGAGUAGAUGAAGAUACAGUGUCCUAGAAACAGAGUGACCACGGUGAGAUGG